AAAGUGGACUGGGUGAUUGCGUGCAGCUUCGGCUGUGCGAGGAAAGUCCGGGCUCCACAGGGCAGGACGCUGGCUAACGACCAGUGGGGGGAACCCCAGGACAGUGCCACAGAAAAAAACCGCCCUAAACGCAGAAGACCGUGAGCAAGAUACGCAGCAGAUACGCAGCACUAUUUGUACCCAGGUGUGCUUUUCGGAGCCACCACAUGUCGCAAUUUCGCUAAUAUGCAUUUUGACUGAAUACAGCACACACAGACGCAGGGCAAGGGUGCAAAGGUGGUGUAAGAGACCACCGGCAAUUGGGUGACCAAUUGGCCAGGCAAACCCCGUCCGGAGCAAGGCAAACAGAGAUAACGGGCUGCCCGCCCAGGUCUCGGGUAUGCUGCUAGAGGUGGUCGGUAACGGCCAUCCCAGAGGGAUAAUCACCCACUGCCUUCGGGCAGGGACAGAACCCGGCUUAUAGGUCCACUUUUAUU
Molecule: RNase P RNA, 476 nt
Filed under: Candidatus Sericytochromatia bacterium
Lineage: Bacteria; Bacillati; Candidatus Sericytochromatia
Description: RNase P RNA component class A
Rfam family: Bacterial RNase P class A
About the family: Ribonuclease P (RNase P) is a ubiquitous endoribonuclease, found in archaea, bacteria and eukarya as well as chloroplasts and mitochondria. Its best characterised activity is the generation of mature 5'-ends of tRNAs by cleaving the 5'-leader elements of precursor-tRNAs.
Source: RNAcentral